CCUCACGUUGCCCUCUCGACAUCACACAUUGCGCUUCCCUUCACUCUCUUCAGCUCUCUCUCUUUUCCCCUCACUACAUCUGUCUCUCUCACUCACUCCAGCUACCCUCCUCUCCACUAUUCUCUCUGAAAAAGAAAAUAAAAUUAAAAAAACUUUUUUUCCUCUCAAUCACCACCUACCUCACUUACAAAAUCCCUUUUCUCUCAUCGUCUCCACCACAAAACCAAAACGCUCCAUUGAGCUCGCCGCCAAACCCAGCCUCUUCUUCUCCGCUCAUCCAAAAGCCACCACGCGAAUCGUCGGCGCACCAACCAUCACGCUUCAAAUCCUCCAUAACUCUCACCUUCUCCGUUUCAUUUCAUCGCAACAAACUCACAAUCGCGCCUCCGGUGUGAACCACCACACGUCCACACCAAGCGACAACCGCACCAAACACCACUAGAUUCCCCUUCAACCUCAACAUCUUCCACUUCCUCCAACAACUAUAAACCCACUGGACCUACAACCUUCAUCAAAUCACCGGUAUCCUUUUCACCAUCGCCGGAAUCUCUUUCACCUUCGGACCCCCGCGAUUGCCGCCACCGUGCUAGCCACCUCUCCAACACCCUCAUCGCCGAAACCACCACUCACAAACAUUUCUUCUCCGCCGCCUGCCCGCCUUUGAACAACAGCAGUAUUAUUUGCAACUCGAUUGCUUGCAAAUGUAAUACAAGUUGGUGGUUUUCCUUAUGAUUUGAUAUCUCAUAUUCCAAAUAAACCACACACCAAAUUGCAGUAAAUUUUUAAAUUUCAUUUUGUUCUCUACGGUAAACCAUUGGAAUUGCUUAUGUAAAAACAAUUUUGGAAGUCCAGAAUUCCUAUCCCGAUGCUCUAAGUGUGGUUGUGUAUGGUAUUAUUGUAUGGGUGUAAAUCGCUCUAGGACAGUGGGAGUGUCUUUAGUUGGUAUAUGGAUUAUAACUUAGUAUGAAAAUAUUGUAAAUAUUAUGAGUAAUUUUACAUGUUUCUCCAUGUGGAGGGUUUGUGAGAGAUAACAGAAAAUAUGAGUAUUUGAGACUUAUUCCUUUU
Lathyrus oleraceus (garden pea) is the source of this 1065-nucleotide long non-coding RNA. RefSeq lists it as uncharacterized. Lineage: Eukaryota; Viridiplantae; Streptophyta; Magnoliopsida; Fabales; Fabaceae. The transcript is spliced from 2 exons. The record is from RefSeq and is a predicted model, not a curated record.